GGUUCUGGACCCCACAAUCUUAUCGCACGUGCGAAGUGUGGGAUCUUUUCCCUUUAUUACUAGUAAUGAUACAAAUUUUAAAAAUAAAUUAAAUAUUUAAAAAGAAAAAGGAUUCCCGUUGCGGGCCUAGUUACGGUUUCUCAUUUUGCUAGCUUUGUUUUUGUCCCCUUUCUUUCUUCAGCUGCUGUCUGUGUACGGACAAAUAAGCAUGGGAUGGCAGUGAAUGAAUAAAUCUAUUGUGGGACCCUCGUUAUUACAGUAUUUUUUUCUUUUAUUAUUUUCUUGCGUUGUUUCAAAGAACUAAAAGAAAUUGAUUUAUUUAACUAAUAAAACGUAAAUGUUAA
Molecule: long non-coding RNA, 344 nt
Filed under: Gossypium barbadense (sea-island cotton)
Lineage: Eukaryota; Viridiplantae; Streptophyta; Magnoliopsida; Malvales; Malvaceae
Description: long non-coding RNA (GBAR_LNC003782)
Source: RNAcentral